RNAcentral lists this transfer RNA (87 nucleotides) under Candidatus Iainarchaeum sp. RNAcentral's name for it is "tRNA-Ser". It matches the Rfam family "tRNA". From Rfam's summary of the family: Transfer RNA (tRNA) molecules are approximately 80 nucleotides in length. Lineage: Archaea; Nanobdellati; Candidatus Iainarchaeota; Candidatus Iainarchaeia; Candidatus Iainarchaeales; Candidatus Iainarchaeaceae. The record is from RNAcentral.
GCUGGGGUGUCUGAGUGGUUUAAGGAGCCAGUCUCGAAAACUGGUAACUGCGCAAGCGGUACGCGAGUUCGAAUCUCGUCCCCAGCG